UUGCGGUUAAAAAGCUCGUAGUUGGAUCUCGGCAAGUAGAGGGCGGUAUGCUUCGUAGCAUUACUGCCCUAUUACUUGUAGUUUUGCCAGAGGUUCCUGGGUGCUCUUAAUCGAGUGUCUAGGGAUGCUGGCAGGUUUACUUUGAAAAAAUUAGAGUGCUCAAAGCAGGCUAUUACGCUUGAAUAUUCGUGCAUGGAAUAAUAGAAUAGGAAGUUGUUUCUAUUUUGUUGGUUUUCGGAAAUCGACUUAAUGAUUAAUAGGGACAGUCGGGGGCAUUUGUAUUCAAACGACAGAGGUGAAAUUCUUGGACCGUUUGAAGACAAACUACUGCGAAAGCAUUUGCCAAGAAUGUUUUCAUUAAUCAAGAACGAAAGUUAGAGGUUCGAAGGCGAUUAGAUACCGCCCUAGUUCUAGCCAUAAACGAUGCCAGCUAGCGAUCUGAGGACGUUUUUUUUGUAGACUCCUCAGGAAGCUUCCGGGAAACCAAAGCGUGUGGGUUCCGGGGGAAGUAUGGUUGCAAAGCUGAAACUUAAAGGAAUUGACGGAAGGGCACCACCAGGAGUGGAGCCUGCGGCUUAAUUUGACUCAACA
RNAcentral lists this ribosomal RNA (591 nucleotides) under uncultured marine eukaryote. Its description in RNAcentral is "SSU rRNA". It matches the Rfam family "Eukaryotic small subunit ribosomal RNA", at positions 613 to 1205 of the family's 1831-position model. The record is from RNAcentral.